GACGAACGCUGGCGGCGUGCCUAAUACAUGCAAGUCGAACGCAGUGGGGACGGGUGCGUAACACGUGGGUAACCUCCCAUCAGAGGGCAUAACACUUGGAAACUGGUGCUAAACCGAUACUGAUGGAUGAACUCGCGGGGCAUUAGCUAGUUGGUGAGGUAACGGCUCACCAAGGCCACGAUGCAUAGCCGACCUGAGAGGGUGAUCGGACACACUGGGACUGAGACACGGCCCAGACUCCUACGGGAGGCAGCAGUAGGGAAUCUUCGGCAAUGGGCGAAAGUCUGAUCGAGCAACGCCGCGUGAGUGAAGAAGGUUUUCGGAUCGUAAAACUCUGUUGUUAGAGAAGCGGUAUCUAACCAGAAAGCCACGGCUAACUACGUGCCAGCAGCCGCGGUAAUAC
This 403-nucleotide ribosomal RNA is filed under the name uncultured bacterium. Its description in RNAcentral is "partial 16S ribosomal RNA". It matches the Rfam family "Bacterial small subunit ribosomal RNA", at positions 28 to 526 of the family's 1533-position model. The record is from RNAcentral.